Nanorana parkeri is the source of this 124-nucleotide long non-coding RNA. RefSeq lists it as uncharacterized. The record is from RefSeq and is a predicted model, not a curated record. The transcript has 4 exons. NCBI's taxonomy places the organism in Eukaryota, Metazoa, Chordata, Amphibia, Anura, Dicroglossidae.
AAGGAUGCGGCCUGUGUAGGCUCCGAGGCGUUUUGACGGCGGAAGUAAAUGAGAUCUGGAAACCGGAUUUUGGGAACACCGGGCCGGAUAACGCUUAUAUCUGUAUAGCCGCUGCUUGACGUGU